GACGAACGCUGGCGGCGUGCUUAACACAUGCAAGUCGAACGGAAAGGCCCUGCUUUUGUGGGGUGCUCGAGUGGCGAACGGGUGAGUAACACGUGAGUAACCUGCCCUUGACUUUGGGAUAACUUCAGGAAACUGGGGCUAAUACCGGAUAGGAGCUCCUGCUGCAUGGUGGGGGGUGGAAAGUUUCGGCGGUUGGGGAUGGACUCGAGGCUUAUCAGCUGGUUGGUGGGGUAGUGGCUUACCAAGGCUUUGACGGGUAGCCGGCCUGAGAGGGUGAGCGGCCUCAUUGGGACUGAGAUACGGACCAGACUCCUACGGGAGGCAGCAGUGGGAAGUAUUACACAGUGGGCGGAAGCCUGAUGCAGAGACGCCGCGUGCGGAAAGCCGGCCUUCGGGUUGUAAACCGCUUUCGCCUGUGACGAAGAGUGAGUGACGGUAAUGGGUAAGAAAGCACCGGCUAACUACGUG
RNAcentral lists this ribosomal RNA (468 nucleotides) under uncultured bacterium. RNAcentral's name for it is "partial 16S ribosomal RNA". It matches the Rfam family "Bacterial small subunit ribosomal RNA", at positions 28 to 507 of the family's 1533-position model. The record is from RNAcentral.